CCUACGGGUGGCAGCAGUGAGGAAUAUUGGUCAAUGGACGAGAGUCUGAACCAGCCAAGUAGCGUGAAGGAUGACUGCCCUAUGGGUUGUAAACUGCUUUUAUAUGGGAAUAAAAUGUUCCACGUGUGGGAUUUUGUAUGUACCAUAUGAAUAAGGAUCGGCUAACUCCGUGCCAGCAGCCGCGGUAAUACGGAGGAUCCGAGCGUUAUCCGGAUUUAUUGGGUUUAAAGGGAGCGUAGGUGGAUUGAUAAGUCAGUUGUGAAAGUUUGCGGCUCAACCGUAAAAUUGCAGUUGAGACUGGCAGUCUUGAGUACAGUAGAGGUGGGCGGAAUUCGUGGUGUAGCGGUGAAAUGCUUAGAUAUCACGAAGAACUCCGAUUGCGAAGGCAGUUCACUGGACUGCAACUGACACUGAGGCUCGAAAGUGUGGGUAUCAAACAGGAUUAGAUACCCCAGUAGUC
Molecule: ribosomal RNA, 460 nt
Filed under: uncultured bacterium
Lineage: Bacteria
Description: partial 16S ribosomal RNA
Rfam family: Bacterial small subunit ribosomal RNA
Source: RNAcentral